UAGUCCCUGAAUCUCUUAGGGUGUUGCAUUUGGGAAGAACCAACACCAAAAAAUAGGGAACUUGACUCUGGGCGUCUAAUGCAAGCCUCCUUAGGGAGGAAGCGUGAACCGUCUAGGCGGGUACCCACUGUGCAAGGCACGGUUCUUCUUCCAAAUCCGCCCUAAGGAUUCAGGGCUUUU
RNAcentral lists this non-coding RNA (180 nucleotides) under bacterium. RNAcentral's name for it is "6S RNA". It matches the Rfam family "6S / SsrS RNA". From Rfam's summary of the family: E. coli 6S RNA was the first non coding RNA to be sequenced, but its function was unknown until recently. It consists of 184 nucleotides that fold into an extended hairpin structure with a large single-stranded internal bulge. The record is from RNAcentral.